This 349-nucleotide RNase P RNA is filed under the name Candidatus Yonathbacteria bacterium RIFOXYC2_FULL_47_9. Its description in RNAcentral is "RNase P RNA component class A". It matches the Rfam family "Bacterial RNase P class A". From Rfam's summary of the family: Ribonuclease P (RNase P) is a ubiquitous endoribonuclease, found in archaea, bacteria and eukarya as well as chloroplasts and mitochondria. Its best characterised activity is the generation of mature 5'-ends of tRNAs by cleaving the 5'-leader elements of precursor-tRNAs. RNAcentral also lists the same sequence under 1 other name. Lineage: Bacteria; Candidatus Yonathiibacteriota. The record is from RNAcentral.
CACCUGGAUCAGGUAAUCGCUCCGCAGGGUAACUUGUGGGGAGGAAAGUCCGAACACUCCCGAGUAUUAGCAAUAAUCACUCGGAGCAGGGUAGCGGGUAACGCCCGUCGAAUGUAAGUUCAGAGGUGCGAGCAGAGACGCCCCGAGCGAAAGCAGAGGGCACCCCUCGUGGGUGAGCUCUCGUAGUAAUACGAGAGGUGAAACGGCUAAAUCCUUACUUGAGUGCAAGGCCGUGUCCUUCGUGAAAUCGAAGGAAGUGCCGCUCGAGCGGUGGGGUAACUCACCGCCUAGAUAAAUGGUUACCGCCUCUUCGGAGGUACAGAAUUCGGCUUAUCGAUACAGGUAUAUG